GGCAGAGAGAGCCCGGUUCCCGUGUCCUGUCAGGUAGCUUAUCUAUCUGUUGGACAUGAGGAAAGUCCCCCCACCGUCCGGACGGGUGACCGGGCGCAAGCCCGGAGUCGGAGACGACUGGCUCUGGAACAGAAACGAGACCUCUCGGUCCGACCGAUGAGACGCGUGCGGCGGAUUCAUCCGCCGCCGACGCGAACGGGGUCACCCGUUUGCGUGCGAACCGACCCGUAAGGGAAGGGAGUUGACCCGUCGAGGGGAGCGCGCCCACAAUGUGGCGCGUCUGGCGAACGGUAUAUCCGUUUGCUCCGGGGUGACGGCAGUUGCCUCGGCCGCGACUGAACGCCUCGCGUUCGGUCGUAGACGACCGAGAACGGAUGGAACGGCGAAUCCUCACCGGUGCAAGUCCGCGCCGCUAAGGUAGUCCGGACAGCACGUUCGGGUUCGCCCGGCGUGCCCCCAAUUUUGGGGAGGACGCGGACGCUCAGCCGAAUGCCGGGUCGAAACAGAAGGGGGCUUACUCCUCUCAGCC
RNAcentral lists this RNase P RNA (529 nucleotides) under Halogeometricum borinquense. RNAcentral describes it as "RNase P RNA component". It matches the Rfam family "Archaeal RNase P". Rfam says of the family: Ribonuclease P (RNase P) is a ubiquitous endoribonuclease, found in archaea, bacteria and eukarya as well as chloroplasts and mitochondria. Its best characterised activity is the generation of mature 5'-ends of tRNAs by cleaving the 5'-leader elements of precursor-tRNAs. Cellular RNase Ps are ribonucleoproteins. The record is from RNAcentral. Lineage: Archaea; Methanobacteriati; Methanobacteriota; Halobacteria; Halobacteriales; Haloferacaceae.